This 618-nucleotide ribosomal RNA is filed under the name Pseudomonas sp. Its description in RNAcentral is "bacterial SSU rRNA". It matches the Rfam family "Bacterial small subunit ribosomal RNA", at positions 72 to 691 of the family's 1533-position model. The record is from RNAcentral. Lineage: Bacteria; Pseudomonadati; Pseudomonadota; Gammaproteobacteria; Pseudomonadales; Pseudomonadaceae.
ACGGGUACUUGUACCUGGUGGCGAGCGGCGGACGGGUGAGUAAUGCCUAGGAAUCUGCCUGGUAGUGGGGGAUAACGCUCGGAAACGGACGCUAAUACCGCAUACGUCCUACGGGAGAAAGCAGGGGACCUUCGGGCCUUGCGCUAUCAGAUGAGCCUAGGUCGGAUUAGCUAGUUGGUGAGGUAAUGGCUCACCAAGGCGACGAUCCGUAACUGGUCUGARAGGAUGAUCAGUCAYACUGGAACUGAGACACGGUCCAGACUNNUACGGGAGGCAGCAGUGGGGAAUAUUGGACAAUGGGCGAAAGCCUGAUCCAGCCAUGCCGCGUGUGUGAAGAAGGUCUUCGGAUUGUAAAGCACUUUAAGUUGGGAGGAAGGGCAGUUACCUAAUACGUAUCUGUUUUGACGUCACCGACAGAAUAAGCACGGCUAACUCUGUGCCAGCAGCCGCGGUNNBACAGAGGGUGCAAGCGUUAAUCGGAAUUACUGGGCGUAAAGCGCGCGUAGGUGGUUCGUUAAGUUGGAUGUVAMMHCCCGGGCUCAACCUGGGAACUGCAUUCAAAACUGACGAGCUAGAGUAUGGUAGAGGUGGUGGAUUUCUGUGUAGCGGUGAAUGCGU